UCUACAGGUGCCUCCUAGGAGGAGAAUAGGAAAGUCGGGUGCAAAUCCCGCACGGUCACGCCGCUGUAAGAGAAGAGGAAUCCUUCAUUAUGUCACUGUAAUGGGAAGGCGAGGGAUUCCGUGGAAGCUUAAGUCAGAAGACCUGCCUGAGAUAA
This 155-nucleotide non-coding RNA is filed under the name human gut metagenome. The record is from RNAcentral.